Molecule: non-coding RNA, 206 nt
Organism: Cinara cedri
Lineage: Eukaryota; Metazoa; Arthropoda; Insecta; Hemiptera; Aphididae
Source: the annotation of a GenBank genome assembly
GCCACUAUUAUUUUGUACAAAAGAUUCUAAGUAGUUAAAACUUUCCAUCUCGCGUAUUACACCAUUACGUAGUAAGGUUAGCUGUCUUUUAUGUUCCUUCGAACUCAUGCUAUGUUUUAUUUAUACUUGUUCUUAGUCUCUUUCAUUCAAGUGCUACUCUCCAUUCCUCAAGCCUAUUGUUAACUUAUUUGAGAUUUUCUCAUAUU